This 442-nucleotide ribosomal RNA is filed under the name uncultured bacterium. Its description in RNAcentral is "partial 16S ribosomal RNA". It matches the Rfam family "Bacterial small subunit ribosomal RNA", at positions 338 to 795 of the family's 1533-position model. The record is from RNAcentral.
CCUACGGGAGGCAGCAGUGGGGAAUAUUGGGCAAUGGGCGCAAGCCUGACCCAGCAACGCCGCGUGAAGGAAGAAGGCUUUCGGGUUGUAAACUUCUUUUGUCAGGGAAGAGUAGAAGACGGUACCUGACGAAUAAGCUACGGCUAACUACGUGCCAGCAGCCGCGGUAAUACGUAGGUGGCAAGCGUUGUCCGGAUUUACUGGGUGUAAAGGGCGUGUAGCCGGGUUGACAAGUCAGAUGUGAAAUCCUGCGGCUUAACCGCAGAACUGCAUUUGAAACUGUUGAUCUUGAGUACUGGAGAGACAGAUGGAAGUCCAAGUGUAGCGGUGAAAUGCGUAGAUAUUAGGAGGAACACCAGUGGCGAAGGCGGUCUGCUGGACAGCAACUGACGGUGAGGCGCGAAAGCGUGGGGAGCAAACAGGAUUAGAUACCCUUGUAGUC